This 5206-nucleotide long non-coding RNA is filed under the name Nicotiana tabacum (common tobacco). Its description in RNAcentral is "long non-coding RNA (NTAB_LNC013267)". Lineage: Eukaryota; Viridiplantae; Streptophyta; Magnoliopsida; Solanales; Solanaceae. The record is from RNAcentral.
CGCUACAUCUCUUGCAACAGAGGCCACCAUCGAGAAGUGUAUUAACUUAUUGGUAACUAUUCCUGGCAUUUCUGAGGGGAGCAAAAUUUUCAACUUCUCUUUAAACCUGCUUGUUAAGAAAGAGAUACGAGAGAUAUUUUUCAAGCUACAUACUGAUGAAGGUCGAAAAUCUUGGUUGGAGUAUAACUAUCAAUCAUACUUGAAGAAGCAGCAAUAAUAUGUUAUGCAUAUUGCAUUAGUAUUUCUAAAACUAGCUAUUUGAUUGUUUCAUUUAGAACUCGAACUAUGUACUUUCAUGGUUAAUUUUCUUACUCUUUCAUGUUUAGACUUUAUGAUUGUUGGUUUAAACACUUUUUUAUUGUUAUAUUUUAUUAAAUAAAUUGUUUCUUUUUAUUUCGCUAUUGCCCAUGGUUACCUUUUUUAUUAUUUUAUUUUCAGUUAAAUGAAAAAUUGGGACAUUAAUAGCAUGAUAUCCAAUCAUCCAAGUGAUUGGGACAUUAGCAACUUUGUAUCCUGUUAUCCAAAUGAUAUGCUAGAUGAUGGAGAGAAAGAAGAUGAAAUGCAAGAAGAAAUAGAGAAACUUCAAAAUGAGCAAGACGAAAAGGAAUGGGAUGCAUUAUGUGUAAUAACAAGUAAGUGUAUAUUGAUGUAUUACGAGAAAUACAUAUGCAAGAUACCUUGUCGUACAUCUAAGCGCACUGGAUAUAUUUUUAUUCAAGAGAUAUUACAUAGAAAUGAGAUGCGUUGCUAUGAGAAUUUUUGACUGAGAAAGUCAGUAUUUAUUAAUUUAUACCAAGAUUUAACAGACAACUAUGGUCUUCAACCCACACGUGGAAUGUCUGUGUACGAGAAGCUAGGCAUGUUUCUUAUAAUUUGUGCACAUGGUGCCGGAAAUCGAUUGAUACAGGAGAUAUUUCAAUACUCAGGAGAAACAAUUCAUAGGCACUUUCAUAGUGUUCUAAAGUCCAUUAGUGAGCUGGCCAGAGAUAUUAUUAGACCGCACUUAAAUUAUAAUGAUGGUGUAGGAGAUCAUAAGCCAUAUAAUCGACGAUAUCUCCCUUUCUUUAAAGUAAGUAAUAAUUUUAAAUAACUAGCUUUACAUUAUAGCUCAAAAUUUUAAUAUUGCAAACUUAUAUUAUAUUUUUGUAUUUAAAUAUUUACAGGAUUGUAUUGGAGCACUUGAUAGUACACAUGUGAAAGCAAGAUUAUCGCAGGGCCAAGAGAUACCUUAUAUAGGCCGUAAAAGUUAUCCAACUCAAAAUAUUCUUGUUGUUGUCGACUUUAAUAUGUGUUUUACAUUUGCAUGGGCUGGGUGGGAAGGAGCAACUCAUGACAGUCGUAUAUUUGGUGAGGUCCUUCGUAGAUCAGAGCUUAACUUUCCACACUCAUUGGGAAACAAAUAUUACCUAGUUGAUGCAGGGUAUCCACAUAUGAAGGGAUAUAUGGCUCCAUAUAAAGGGGCUGAUGUGAGAUACCACCUAGCAGAUUUUCGUCGAGGUGCGACACGAUAAGUGCGAGCACCAAGAGGAAGGAAAGAAAAAUUUAAUUAUUUGCAUUCUUCAUGUAGAAACAUUGUGGAGCGUACAUUUGGGGUAUGGAAAGCGAGGUGGUCUAUUUUGCGAGAUAUGCAUUAUUACGACAUUGAUAUCCAGAGGGAUAUCGUCAUUGCUACUAUGACCAUUCAUAAUUAUAUUAGAAAGAAAUGUAAGGUGGAUGAUGCAUUUCGAGCAGCUGAGGAUGAGAGAUAUAUUCCAUCUGUUGAGCAUGAUGUUGGCACAUCUCUGGGGGCAAAUAGUGUAAAUGUAGAAAAUAUGGAAAAUCAAAGUGACAACAUUUGGAUGGCUACUCGUGAUGUGAUUGCUGAUGAUAUUUGGCAAUAUGCUGAACGCCUACAUUAGCUAUUUCCAAUUUUGUUUUGGACAUUUUACUAGGUAUAGAUACAACUCUAGAUAUUUUGGUUAUGGUUCUCUAGCCUCUUUUGAGAAUAAUGGAGCAAUUGAGUGAUUUGAUUCAAUCCAACUGUCUUGAUAGGGUAGUGACAAUAUUGUCAUUGUGGAUCCCUUUCUUUGUUUGGAUUUUAUGUAGCAAAUUUCAAGUUGUGUUGCUGAGACGACUCUAAUUUAUUGUAUAUUUCAAAAAUAACCGUAAUGCUUUUUAAAAAAUACUUUAUAAAAUAAUUUAUAUUUAUUAAAAAUAAUCGUAUCAAAACAAUGUAUAACCUAACGUUAAUUGAGACAUAACUUAAUUUGUGUUUGAAUUAAUUUAAAAUUUAAAAUAUUGCAAUAACAAGCUUAUUUUUCGCUUAAUACUUUUAAGGGUAUUUCAGUCAUCUUAAUAGAAAAAGAAAUUUUCAGCACUUUUUACCAAACUCAGCUGCUUAUUUUCAGCUCCAGCUCUUUUAUCCAAACACGUAACUGCUUAAUUAUAAAUUCAGCUCCAACACUUAAAAAGUGCUUUUAAGUACUUAGUGCUUAAAAGCUACUUAAAUUUAGCCAACCCAAACGGGCUCUGAAUCAUAUAUUUUUAGAACCACAAAAUCAAAUCUAAUUGUAAUUAUCAUUUUCAAGGUAAACAGUUUGGUGCCCACCGUGGGGCUAAAUAUAAUAGUGAUUGUUUUGGUGCUGGUUCAUUGAAAACACAAGUUAUUAUUCAUACUUUUUCUUGUCCAAGAAUCUUUGGUUUCAGGUCAAAAUGUCUAACUCAGUGGAUGCACCUGAAAACAACGGUCCUGAGGACCGUGGAGAGAAUGGUGUAGUUGUUCCAGGCGCCGGUGUACCACAGCGAAACCCUGAGGACGCCCCAGAACCGAUCCCCACGGAUGUGGGCUCACGCAACGCCCAAUACAUCGAUGUAAGCUCCCACACUAACAGGAGUAUACGCCAAGAGAACCAACAAGAAGCUUAGAAAACCCCAGUUCGGAAGGAAAGAGAGGCAAACGGGAGGAACGGAAUGGGAAAAUCUCAGCACAUCGUCCAUAUGAUCAUUGGGGGGAAUGACGUUCCUCAAGGACCCGCGAACAAGCAGACAAAAGUUUCCGCAGCAAAAGAAGGGCAAAUUCGGGGCCGCAUGCCCGAGGACAUCCUUGCAUUCAGUGAAAAAGACUUCGAAACCUUGUCUCAUUCACAUAACGAUGCGCUGGUAAUUUCAUUUCUCUUGAAUAACAAUCAAAUUAAACGUGUACUCGUGGAUCCAGGUAGCUCGGCCAACGUAAUCAGUGUCACACCUCCUUUUUAUCACCGCCGAAAGGGAGUAUAAGAGAGUUUUUUCCAAUUUAAGUGACAAUCAAAACAUAAUUAUUUUAUUUAAAAAUCAGAAUUGGUAUUUGGGAUAAUUUAUGGUGUCCCAAGUCAUCGGUUUAAAUCCCGAAUCGUGAAAAGAUUGACUAUGUUUUAUAGUCCACAAAACACAGAAAUCCGGGUAAGGAAUUCUGUUAACCCGGGAGAAGGUGUUAGGCAUUCCCGGGUUCCGUGGUUUUAGCACGGUCGCUCAACUAUUAUUAUUGGAUCAUUUAUCUGAUUUAAUUACACAUUUUAAACCUAUGUGCUCUUUUAACUUUUUAGCCGCUUUUAAUAUUUCAGAAAAUUUUAAGGUUCUUUAAAACACAUCGUAAGCCACGCUACAUGAAAUGCACCCGCGGUCACGACACGUUCUAUUUAAACUUGUUGGAAAUUAAAAGCCAGGUCACAUGAAAUGUACACCCGGAUUUGAAAAUUGUGUAUCGCAACUACGUCACGGGAACCGUACCCGUAGUCGUGAUAAUUUAUUAUUGAUUGCACCUAAAGAAAGCUACAAUGUUUCAUGAAUGUUUAGUUCCUAAUUCAGUGAUUGUGUGUGGAAAGACAUGUGAUUAUGGAGUACUUUUACUAAAUGAGAUUUUAUGCUCAUGUUCAGUUUUAUUUCAUGUAUUUGGCUAAGCCCAAUUUCUAAACAUGUAAACAAUUUAAUCACUAAAGAGAUUUGGCCUUUCCCAUUCCCCGCAACCCUGUUCACCCAUUUAAUCGAAUUGUCCACACUAAAUAAUGAUAAAGAAACGUCAACAAAAUAAUUAUUCAAAUGACAUAUACUCCAGUAACGUGAACGACUAAACCAAGAAUACUAAGAAAUUAAAAGGUAAAGCAAGUGGAUAAAAUGAUAAGAUCUAUGAGGCACCUCCCUGGACAAACUAACUUCCUAAUUCAAUUCAAAGUUCAAAUAUCAAAGAUGUAUUUCACUAGUACUACUCAAAUGCCACCCACGUCACAUGCUUCUCACAAAGAAUUUCAUGAACAUGUUUUAAAGAAAAGCAGAAAAAGAUAAACAAAUGACUGGCACCAUUGACACUUUAAUUACACGCAAGCACUUUAAAUAUAGUAGGCUCAUAUUAUAUUUCAACCACAAGGUUCACAAGAAAAAUAAAGAAAAGGAAAAGAUAUGAACCUGUAAAUUUGAGCUUCAAUUGACUGAAAUUUUAAGCAAUUACACAGGCAAAAUGAACCACUGCUAUGGCUGAGAUUGAAAGCGUACGGAACUCGAACACAGACUUCGAACAACACCUCAAUUCAAACGACCUCAACACAAAAUGCGACAAUGACUCGGGACUCGGAGGCAGGAAGAGUAUCUCAAUUUCCGGCUACUUCGUUUUCCCCCUUUUCUAUUUGAAUUCUUUUGUCCCAAAACUGAACUUUCGCCUUAGUAGAAGAGAGAAAUGUCAGCAGUUCGAAUGUGGUCGGAUAUUGUUUAGGGGUGGUAAAGGGGUUGGUGGAUUGGUAAUGGAUUUUGAGUUAAGGAAAAGAGAAGGUUGUUGUCUCAUUCAUGGAAUUGGAAGGCUUGAUGUGAAUGUAUAUUUGUGUUUGUGGUUUCGUCCCUUUUUUGAUCAUAGAUCACUGAAUACAAAAAUCAAUUUAAAAUUGCUCCACAUAUAGCAUCAUACAGGACUCAUCUUCACUCAGAACUCACAAUGAAUCCCACCUACCCCUCUAAGCUUCUUACAUUGUUUUUCAAACCAAAUAAGUUUAAACUGCUAAAUUUCAUCAUUAUUGUACCCACAAUCAAGAAGCCGGAAGAAGGUCGCCUUAGCUUUCUCUAGUUGUAUGUAUCUGUGAUUUUUGUGAAUGUGCCCAGAAAAUUCGAAGAGGUUGAGCUGCCGUUUUUUCUUUCUUUUUGUCUAGGUCUCCUUUUAGGUCCUUGGGUCUUGCAUUGUUCUUAUAGGGUUUUUUUUAGGUUAAGG